GAUGAAGAACGUAGCGAAAUGCGAUACGUAAUGUGAAUUGCAGAAUUCAGUGAAUCAUCGAGUCUUUGAACGCACAUUGCGCCCCCUGGUAUUCCGGGGGGCAUGCCUGUUUGAGUAUCAUGAAGACCUCAACUCUCAUGAUGAGCUUGGAUUUGGGGGUCUUGCUGGCCUGUGGUCGGCUCCUCUCAAAUGGAUCAGCUUGCCAGUGUUUGGUGGCAUCACAGGUGUGAUAACUAUCUGCGCUUGUGGUUUUCCAUCAGAUAACCUUCAGUGAUGGAGGUUCGCUGGAGCUCAUAAACGUCUCCCCUAAGCGGGGACAGCCCUUUGAAUGUUUGAUCUCAAAUCAGGUAGGACUACCCGCUGAACUUAAGCAUAUCAAUAAGCGGAGGA
RNAcentral lists this unclassified non-coding RNA (390 nucleotides) under soil metagenome. RNAcentral's name for it is "partial contains 5.8S ribosomal RNA, internal transcribed spacer 2, and large subunit ribosomal RNA". The stretch from base 1 to 120 matches the Rfam family "5.8S ribosomal RNA", at positions 35 to 154 of the family's 154-position model. The record is from RNAcentral.